RNAcentral lists this ribosomal RNA (453 nucleotides) under uncultured bacterium. RNAcentral's name for it is "partial 16S ribosomal RNA". It matches the Rfam family "Bacterial small subunit ribosomal RNA", at positions 356 to 826 of the family's 1533-position model. The record is from RNAcentral.
GGGGGAUAUUGCACAAUGGAGGAAACUCUGAUGCAGCAACGCCGCGUGAAGGAUGAAGGUCUUCGGAUUGUAAACUUUUGUACUUGGGGACGAUAAUGACGGUACCCAAGCAGCAAGCUCCGGCUAACUACGUGCCAGCAGCCGCGGUAAUACGUAGGGAGCAAGCGUUGUCCGGAUUUACUGGGUGUAAAGGGUGCGUAGGCGGCUAUGCAAGUCAGUUGUGAAAACUAUGGGCUCAACCCAUAGCCUGCAAUUGAAACUGCGUGGCUUGAGUGAAGUAGAGGUAGGUGGAAUUCCCGGUGUAGCGGUGAAAUGCGUAGAGAUCGGGAGGAACACCAGUGGCGAAGGCGACCUACUGGGCUUUAACUGACGCUGAGGCACGAAAGCAUGGGUAGCAAACAGGAUUAGAUACCCUGGUAGUCCAUGCCGUAAACGAUGAUUACUAGGUGUGGG